GGGCUUCGAGGUCGCGCAGACGGCGCUCCGCGGAGCGCGGGCCGCUGUGCCAAGCCGCUGCCCGGGCGGCCGGAAGGAAGGCUCCGACCCGCGCUCCUUACCCUGCCGGCUGUGGAAACUCCGCAAGAGAGAACCGCCCUUCUGAGACCGCGAGCAGAGAAGAGAUUCGGGAGUGCUGCUGGCCUGCUCGCGGCUAGCUGCGCGAGUCCCUGCUGCUCCGCGUGGAGACCCGUGCCUGGAGUUGGAGGCCCCUUGAGAGUGGAGGUCUCCUGGCCGCCAGGGCCGAGCCUGCUGCGUGGUGUCUGGUCUGCGCGGCCGAGCGCAUUUAAAGAUUACCACUUUGAGUACACGGAGUGCGACAGCAGCGGCUCCAGGUGGAGGGUUGCCAUCCCCAACUCUGCCGUGGACUGCUCCGGCCUGCCUGACCCCGUGAGAGGAAAGGAGUGCAGUACGUCUCCACUUUCUGACCACCCGUUUCCCGAUUACACUAUAAUGCUCUUGUAAUAGCCCUGUGAACAGGAGAAUCCUGCAAGAGUGAGCAUGUCUAUUGAUGAUUCCAUGCCGCUUCCUCAGUACCUCGCGUCCCUGUGUCUGAAGUCUGGGCAAUAAUACAAGGAUGGUGUUAAAAAAAUCUGUUUUUUCUUGUGUUUGAAAUGAUAGAGGGCAGAGUGGAGAAAUUUCUCUUCAAUGGCUUCUUUUAAAUUAAAACUUCUAUUAAUUGUGUGAAACGAGCACUGCUCGAGUUUGAUGUCUUAACUUUGCAGUGUGCUGUGCAGUGGUACCAAGUACGUGCUCAUUGCUUUGCUGCCUUUGCCACCAGCUACCCGUGAUGCUCAUCUCAUAGUGGGUUUCUUUCUUUUUAUUUUUUAAUUAUAGAAAUACCUUGAAGUAAUGUUUAAAAAGUGAAACCUGCAGAGUGUUCAUUUGUACAGUUGCUGAAUAUCACAUCCAACAACUUAUCUUGUGGCAGUUAAGGAGCUUCAAAGUGCAGCAUUCUGAAUGAAUGGAGAAAUAGGUAGUGAAGUUGAUUUUCAUUUAUAAGCUCUACCUUUUAGAGCACUCUUUGCUUUGGUGAGUCAGGGGAGUCUGCUAUGAAAUAAUGUAGAGGUGGCCUGCACUUCAGACCUAGGAGUGACAGAGUUUGUUUUGAUUUUCCUGCAGUCUUCCAAAUGAUAUUCCUAAAACCUUAGUUCUUCUGAUUCCAAAUGAAAAAGCAUGUGAACAAAUUGUUAAAUGGAUAACUAACUCCUCAUUUAGCCUGAGAGGCAGCGUCGGUUAGGGCUUGCAGAUAAAAGGGAGAUGGCAGAAGUUUUAUGAGGAAGAUUAGGGGAGAGCACCAUUAUUCCUUGGUGGAUAAAGUUGAACAGAUACAGAGAGAACCUGAGAGCCCUGCAGCCUGAGGACAUCCACAUGUGUCUCCAGAGACAGCGUGGCUACUGGAAGGAGGUGACUCCAGGGCUGGGCAUGGGCUGCCACCAUGCACAGGAAAGAUCAGUUCUCAGAGGGUGGCAGUGAAAAGGGCAAAACAGCCUGAGUGAUAUCUGUGCCAUCGGCUUUGUACGUUUCCUUCAGUCAACUCCCACCAAUCUGUGUGGUACUUACCUAUCCUGAGUUUGAAGCAAGGUCUCACUGGGUAGCUCUGCUGGCCCGUUGCUGUGAUGAUCUCCGUCUCAGUCUCUGUUCCCUGUGAUUCUGGCUGCAGAUCUGAGCCAUCACGCAUACUAACUUCACACCUGGGAGGCGUGGUGGCCCUGGCCAGCACUGGCUGUGGAGAGCUGUUGUUAGUUGAAAUGGGCCAUGGGAAGGAUUUCCACAGUGGCAGCUGACAGACGAGGACUUCUUCCCUCUAGAGCCAGACCUUAAACACUUGGCAGUAGAACAGGGCUGCAAUGCGUUGACCAAGGGUGUGAAAGUCUGUUGCAGGACUAAUGACUGAAUAGGGAUCAUUUCUGUCUGAAUGUUACCAGCUGCCCUUUUUACUCAUUAUUUACUAAAAUGUUUCAUGAUGACAUUUUGAAUUUGACUUUCCAGCAAGAUAUUUCCUAGACACUCUGACUAGAAUCAAGCCACUUUUAAUUAUUACUUACUAUUAAAAUGAUACUUAUUUUUAAAAUAACAAUACAUAUGUGGUUGCUGGGACAUUUUCUAUCUUUGUAUUUUGCCUGAAAUCUGAUUUCCAAAUAUUCCUGCAUAAUAUAUUUGCUGUGGUUCUUGUUAGUCUGGCCUUCGAUAUGUGACUUUUUCCUGUGUUAUGACAAAGGCAAGUCAUUGUAAAGCUCACAGGUAAGCUACAGAUCUAAUUAAUUUAGAAGGUUUCAAAUUAUAAUGUCCACAACGCUGCCUGCCAUACCACCUGUCAUUCAUGUUUGCCUCCAGAUAGCAGCGGAGUUAUGAAGAGUGCUCUUCAGGGCAUGGAUUUGCCUACUGCUGACUACAGCUACCAGCUCUCCAUCCUGAGUCUGUGCAUAGGUGUCGCUAUCGCAGGGCGCUACUACAGGGUGGGUGGGCACCCUUCCUGUGAAACAUUUAGAACCAGACAGUUUGGGAUCUUUUCUGAUUUUGGACAGUUUGUAUAUGCGUAAUGAGAUAUCUCAGGGAUGAGACUCAAGUUUAAACCCAAAAUUCAUUUAUGUUUUAUAUAUACUUUAUGUACCUAACCCAAAGGUAAUUUUAUAUAGUAUUUUAAGUAAUGUUGUACGUGAAGUAAACCAUGGGGAAUUUUUCACUUGGGGUGUCAUAUUGACAUAAAAAAUUUCAUAUUUUGGAGCAUUUUGUAUUUUCAGGUUGGCACUGCUCCACCUGGAACAGUGUUUCCUUUUAUUAUUAUUUUUUUGUUUUGUACCAGGGAUUGAGCUCAUGACCUUUCGCUUGCCAGGCAGGUGCUUAUGCCACUAAACUAUAUUCCUAGCCAGUGUUUCUUUUUAGUGAUGAGAAAACUCAGACUUCAGGGGUGAAGGUACUGGCCUUGGGUCACAGCCUCCUUGUGGUCGAUCUUGGUUUAGACAGGCAUGUCCCCAGAGCCUGUCCCUGACCUGAGCUCACCUGCCACCUGCAGAUGUGGUCGGGGUCUCUAGGUCCCCAAGGGGCACAGAGCCCUGUGGUGGAUCCUGGCAGCUUUGAGAGAGGGAGGAAUAUUUAGGGCCCUCACUGUGGAGGGCAUUUCCCCAGGUCCUCAUCACUCCAAAGAGAGUCAGACCCUGAAUCUGGCCUUUGCUAAAAUUGUGUGGAUUCUUUAACAUGAAAUUGGAA
Molecule: long non-coding RNA, 3249 nt
Organism: Chinchilla lanigera (long-tailed chinchilla)
Lineage: Eukaryota; Metazoa; Chordata; Mammalia; Rodentia; Chinchillidae
Source: Ensembl